Long non-coding RNA from Lolium rigidum, 332 nucleotides. RefSeq lists it as uncharacterized. Lineage: Eukaryota; Viridiplantae; Streptophyta; Magnoliopsida; Poales; Poaceae. The transcript has 3 exons. The record is from RefSeq and is a predicted model, not a curated record.
ACUUUGGUUCUGGAUGAAUGGUUUGCGACUGAUGACCUUAGUGCAUUAGUUUGGUUUCUCCAACACUCGCCAAUUCUAGAGAAGCUUUCUCUUCAACUUCCAGUGGUGGUACCCAAAAUAUCAGUAAGAAGAUACAGUCCAAUUGAACAAUCAGUUGCAUCUGAUCAUCUUGAAUUAGUUGAAAUCAAAUGUCAAGAUGUUGAUGAGAUGGUUGUCGCAAUCUUGGAGAUUUUAAAUGUCUUUGGCGUACCACUGGAGAGAAUUCAGAUCCAUAAGAGUUCAUGGUUUGGCUGUUUUAACUUUGUAUGCACGGGUUUCAACACCAAAUAGAG